CUGGCUCAGGACGAACGCUGGCGGCGUGCCUAACACAUGCAAGUCGAACGGAGUAAGAAUUCGGUUUUACUUAGUGGCGAACGGGUGAGUAACGCGUGAACAACCUGCCUUCCUGAGGGGGGAUAACACCUGGAAACAAGUGCUAAUACCGCAUAAGACCACAUGUCCGCAUGGACGAGGGGGUCAAAGGAGCAAUCCGCAGGGAGAGGGGUUCGCGUCCCAUUAGCUAGUUGGCGGGGCAACGGCCCACCAAGGCGACGAUGGGUAGCCGAGCUGAGAGGCUGAUCGGCCACACUGGAACUGAGACACGGUCCAGACUCCUACGGGAGGCAGCAGUGGGGAAUAUUGGGCAAUGGGCGCAAGCCCUGACCCAGCAACGCCGCGUGAGGGAAGAAGGUCUUCGGAUUGUAAACCUCUGUCCUAUGUGACGAAGGAAGUGACGGUAGCAUAGGAGGAAGCCCCGGCUAACUACGUGCCAGCCGCCGC
Molecule: ribosomal RNA, 486 nt
Filed under: uncultured bacterium
Lineage: Bacteria
Description: bacterial SSU rRNA
Rfam family: Bacterial small subunit ribosomal RNA
Source: RNAcentral